CCUACGGGGGGCAGCAGUGGGGGAUAUUGCACAAUGGGGGAAACCCUGAUGCAGCGACGCCGCGUGGGUGAAGAAGCGCCUCGGCGCGUAAAGCUCUGUCAGCAGGGAAGAAAAUGACGGUACCUGAAUAAGAAGCCCCGGCUAACUACGUGCCAGCAGCCGCGGUAAUACGUAGGGGGCAAGCGUUAUCCGGAUUUACUGGGUGUAAAGGGGGCGCAGACGGCAGUGCAAGCCUGGAGUGAAAUCCCAGGGCUAAACCCCGGAACUGCUCUUGAAACUGUGCGGCUAGAGUGCAGGAGGGGUAGGCGGAAUUCCUGGUGUAGCGGUGAAAUGCGUAGAUAUCAGGAGGAACACCAGUGGCGAAGGCGGCUUACUGGACUGUAACUGACGUUGAGGCUCGAAAGCGUGGGGAGCAAACAGGAUUAGAUACCCGGGUAGUC
Molecule: ribosomal RNA, 440 nt
Filed under: uncultured bacterium
Lineage: Bacteria
Description: partial 16S ribosomal RNA
Rfam family: Bacterial small subunit ribosomal RNA
Source: RNAcentral